UACGAGGGGUGCAAACGUUAUUCGGAUUGAUUGGGCGUAAAGGGUGCGUAGGCGGCAUACUAAGUCAACUGUUAAAUUUCCCGGCCUAACUGGGAUUCUGCGGUAGAUACUGGUGUGCUUGAGGAUGGAAGAGAGAAGUGGAAUUCUCGGAGUAGCGGUAAAAUGCGUAGAUCUCGAGAGGAACACCAAUGGCGAAGGCAGCUUCUUGGUCCAUUUCUGACGCUGAGGCACGAAAGCGCGGGGAGCAAACAGG
Molecule: ribosomal RNA, 253 nt
Filed under: uncultured bacterium
Lineage: Bacteria
Description: partial 16S ribosomal RNA
Rfam family: Bacterial small subunit ribosomal RNA
Source: RNAcentral